GCGGGAUGCGUCCCGUUGAAAGGAAUGUAGCUCUGUAACAGAGCCGAACCUUAGG
This 55-nucleotide non-coding RNA is filed under the name unclassified sequences. Its description in RNAcentral is "eL15-Euryarchaeota ribosomal protein leader". It matches the Rfam family "eL15-Euryarchaeota ribosomal protein leader". The record is from RNAcentral.